AUUGAACGCUGGCGGCAGGCCUAACACAUGCAAGUCGAACGGUAACAGGAAACAGCUUGCUGUUUCGCUGACGAGUGGCGGACGGGUGAGUAAUGUCUGGGAAACUGCCUGAUGGAGGGGGAUAACUACUGGAAACGGUAGCUAAUACCGCAUAACGUCGCAAGACCAAAGAGGGGGACCCUCGGGCCUCUUGCCAUCGGAUGUGCCCAGAUGGGAUUAGCUUGUUGGUGGGGUAACGGCUCACCAAGGCGACGACCCCUAGCUGGUCUGAGAGGAUGACCAGCCACACUGGAACUGAGACACGGUCCAGACUCCUACGGGAGGCAGCAGUGGGGAAUAUUGCACAAUGGGCGCAAGCCUGAUGCAGCCAUGCCGCGUGUAUGAAGAAGGCCUUCGGGUUGUAAAGUACUUUCAGCGGGGAGGAAGGGAGUAAAGUUAAUACCUUUGCUCAUUGACGUUACCCGCAGAAGAAGCACCGGCUAACUCCGUG
Molecule: ribosomal RNA, 490 nt
Filed under: uncultured bacterium
Lineage: Bacteria
Description: partial 16S ribosomal RNA
Rfam family: Bacterial small subunit ribosomal RNA
Source: RNAcentral